Molecule: ribosomal RNA, 254 nt
Filed under: uncultured bacterium
Lineage: Bacteria
Description: partial 16S ribosomal RNA
Rfam family: Bacterial small subunit ribosomal RNA
Source: RNAcentral
UACGGGGGGAGCAAGCGUUGUUCGGAUUUACUGGGCGUAAAGGGCGCGUAGGCGGCCAGCGCAAGUCAGUUGUGAAAUCUCCGGGCUUAACUCGGAACGGUCAACUGAUACUGCGCGGCUAGAGUGCAGAAGGGGCAACUGGAAUUCUCGGUGUAGCGGUGAAAUGCGCAGAUAUCAGGAGGAACACCGGUGGCGAAGGCGGGUCUCUGGGCCGAUACUGACGCUGAGGAGCGAAAGCGUGGGGAGCAAACAGG